Molecule: non-coding RNA, 390 nt
Organism: Mesoplodon densirostris (Blainville's beaked whale)
Lineage: Eukaryota; Metazoa; Chordata; Mammalia; Artiodactyla; Ziphiidae
Source: the annotation of a RefSeq genome assembly
AUGGCCUCAACCCCUCUCCUGCUCCCCCUCCUCAUUCUCUGCACAGGCUCCGUGGCCUCCUAUGAGCUGACCCAGCCACCAUUAGUGUCCAUGUCCUUGGGACAGACGUCCAAGAUCACCUGCUCUGGAGACCUACUGGACAAAAAAUAUACAUCUUGGUACCAGCAGAAGCCAGGCCAGGUCCCUGUGCAGGUCAUUUAUAAGGAUAGCGAACGGCCCUCAGGGAUCCCUGACCGAUUCUCCGGUUCUAGCUCAGGCAAAAUUGCAACCCUGACCAUCAGCGGGGCCCAGGCCGAGGACGAGGCUGACUAUUACUGUGCAUCAGCUGACAGCAGUGGUGAUCGUCUGGCAUAUACUGGGGGCUCCAAAGUGGUCAUUUUAGUAAAGUAG